AUUGAACGCUGGCGGCAUGCUUUACACAUGCAAGUCGAACGGCAGCACGGGCUUCGGCCUGGUGGCGAGUGGCGAACGGGUGAGUAAUGCAUCGGAACGUACCGUGUAAUGGGGGGAUAACGUAGCGAAAGUUACGCUAAUACCGCAUACGCCCUGAGGGGGAAAGCGGGGGAUCGUAAGACCUCGCGUUAUACGAGCGGCCGAUGUCGGAUUAGCUAGUUGGUGGGGUAAAGGCCUACCAAGGCGACGAUCCGUAGCGGGUCUGAGAGGAUGAUCCGCCACACUGGGACUGAGACACGGCCCAGACUCCUACGGGAGGCAGCAGUGGGGAAUUUUGGACAAUGGGGGCAACCUUGAUCCAGCCACGCCGCGUGAGUGAAGAAGGCCUCGG
RNAcentral lists this ribosomal RNA (391 nucleotides) under uncultured bacterium. Its description in RNAcentral is "bacterial SSU rRNA". It matches the Rfam family "Bacterial small subunit ribosomal RNA", at positions 29 to 420 of the family's 1533-position model. The record is from RNAcentral.